AUAACAUAAUAUAUGACAAAGUAUUAACAAUAAAAUCUGUUUUUUCUGUAAAAUAUUUUUCAUGUAAAUGUAGAACUCUCCUACGAUUGGUUGAAAUCCAAUUCCGCUGCCGUGUUUACCGCUUAAUGGGACAUUAGGAGAAAUGCAUCAGCGGAAACGUGUACAAUUAUAACCUGAUAUUGCCUGAUAUUGACUCGCGGAAUGAACGAUAAUCUCUUCAUACACGUUCCAAAGACAAUACUAUUAUUAAAUAAUUAUGAACAGAAAAAUAAAAUGUAAUUUUUGUGGCUGGAUAAUGAGUAGCUCGUGUAAUAUUGAUCAGCAUAAAUGUUUCGAGAACUAUGAAGACGUCCACGAUGAAAACCAUGUAGUAAGAGAAAAAGAAAGAAGAUUAAUGCAGGGAGCAAGCGACA
Molecule: long non-coding RNA, 413 nt
Organism: Vollenhovia emeryi
Lineage: Eukaryota; Metazoa; Arthropoda; Insecta; Hymenoptera; Formicidae
Exons: 3
Source: RefSeq, a predicted model, not a curated record